CAAACGACUCUCGGCAACGGAUAUCUCGGCUCACGCAUCGAUGAAGAACGUAGCAAAAUGCGAUACUUGGUGUGAAUUGCAGAAUCCCGUGAACCAUCGAGUUUUUGAACGCAAGUUGCGCCCGAHGCCAUUCGGCCGAGGGCACGUCUGCCUGGGCGUCACGC
RNAcentral lists this ribosomal RNA (164 nucleotides) under Tetramolopium humile. Its description in RNAcentral is "5.8S ribosomal RNA". It matches the Rfam family "5.8S ribosomal RNA". Rfam says of the family: 5.8S ribosomal RNA (5.8S rRNA) is a component of the large subunit of the eukaryotic ribosome. It is transcribed by RNA polymerase I as part of the 45S precursor that also contains 18S and 28S rRNA. Functionally, it is thought that 5.8S rRNA may be involved in ribosome translocation. The record is from RNAcentral. Lineage: Eukaryota; Viridiplantae; Streptophyta; Magnoliopsida; Asterales; Asteraceae.